GAUGAAGAACGUAGCGAAAUGCGAUGAGUAAUGUGAAUUGCAGAAUUCAGUGAAUCAUCGAAUCUUUGAACGCACCUUGCGCUCUUUGGUAUUCCGAAGAGCAUGCCUGUUUGAGUGUCAUGAAAAUAUCAACCUUGACUUGGGUUUUGUGCUCUAGUCUCGGCUUGGAAUUGGGUGCUUGCCGCUUUUACGAGCGGCUCACCUUAAAUGUAUUAGCUGGAUCUGUCUUUGAGACUUGGUUUGACUUGGCGUAAUAAGUAUUUCGCUAAGGACAUUCUUCGGAGUGGCCUCGUUUCUAGGACGCUUGUCCGCUUUCCAAUACAAGUUCCACCUCGUGGACAUGACUUUUUAUUAUCUGGCCUCAAAUCAGGUAGGACUACCCGCUGAACUUAAGCAUAUCAAUAAGCGGAGGA
Molecule: unclassified non-coding RNA, 413 nt
Filed under: soil metagenome
Description: partial contains 5.8S ribosomal RNA, internal transcribed spacer 2, and large subunit ribosomal RNA
Rfam family: 5.8S ribosomal RNA (bases 1-120)
Source: RNAcentral